This 496-nucleotide ribosomal RNA is filed under the name uncultured bacterium. RNAcentral describes it as "partial 16S ribosomal RNA". It matches the Rfam family "Bacterial small subunit ribosomal RNA", at positions 28 to 506 of the family's 1533-position model. The record is from RNAcentral.
GAUGAACGCUGGCGGCGUGCCUAAUACAUGCAAGUCGAGCGAACGGACGAGAAGCUUGCUUCUCUGAUGUUAGCGGCGGACGGGUGAGUAACACGUGGAUAACCUACCUAUAAGACUGGGAUAACUUCGGGAAACCGGAGCUAAUACCGGAUGAUAUUUUGAACCGCAUGGUUCAAAAGUGAAAGACGGUCUUGCUGUCACUUAUAGAUGGAUCCGCGCUGCAUUAGCUAGUUGGUAAGGUAACGGCUUACCAAGGCAACGAUGCAUAGCCGACCUGAGAGGGUGAUCGGCCACACCGGAACUGAGACACGGUCCAGACUCCUACGGGAGGCAGCAGUAGGGAAUCUUCCGCAAUGGGCGAAAGCCUGACGGAGCAACGCCGCGUGAGUGAUGAAGGUCUUCGGAUCGUAAAACUCUGUUAUUAGGGAAGAACAUAUGUGUAAGUAACUGUGCACAUCUUGACGGUACCUAAUCAGAAAGCCACGGCUAACUACGU